GCUGGGUGUGGUGGUGCACCCCUGUAAUCCCAGUGACUCGGGAGGCUAAGGCAGGAGGAUCAUGAGUUGAAAACCAGCCUCAGCAAAAAGCAAGGCAUUAAGCAACUCAGUGAGACCUUGUCUCUA
This 126-nucleotide small RNA is filed under the name Marmota monax (woodchuck). The record is from RNAcentral. Lineage: Eukaryota; Metazoa; Chordata; Mammalia; Rodentia; Sciuridae.